AUUAUAAUAUUAUUUAUAAAUUAAUUAUUAAAUUAUUCAAUCAUUUCCAAUAAUAUUUUUAACCUUUAUCAGUUUAUUUUCCCAUUUAAAUAAAUUGUAUUUAUUUAAACCUUUUAAUAAUAUUAAAUCUUUUAUAAUAUUUUCAUUAAAUUUAUUACGUGCGAGGGUAAUAAUAUUGGUAGCAGUAGAAGAGAUAGCCUCCAUUAUAACUGAAAAAGCUGAAAUAUUUAAAUAUUUCCCAGCUAAUAAAUUUAAUAUAGGAAACCGAUUUGAAUUAUUUUUCCAAAAUAAUAAUAUAUCUUUUUUUUCCUUAUAUAAAACCUUGGUAAAAUAUAUAAUAUAUUCGUCGUUUUAAAUCGGCUUUUUACUUUUAAUUAAUUCGGAAUUCAAAUUACUACUAUUAUUUAUAUUAAUACUAUUAUUAUUCGUAUAAUUUCUUAUAAAUAUUAUUAUGUAAUUCGUCGAAAAAGGAAUUUUCUAUAUUAUUAUUAUUUAUAUUAUUUUUAAAUAUAAUUUAGGGUUUUAAUUUAUUCUAUUUGUUUUUUAAUAUGUUAAUUAUAUUGGUUUUAACUUGCGGGUAAAUAAUCUACGAUUUGCGAUUUUCAAAAUAAAACAAUUUAUAUCGCGGAUCCAAAAUAAUUAAUAAAAUAAAUAGUUAAUAUUUAAUAAAUAUAUUUAAAAUUAAAUAUUUAGGGCAGUGUAUAUUUGACUUUUUAAUAUUAGUUUUAAUAGCCAAAAUAAAUACAUUUUAAUCUAAUAUUAUUAUAAUUAUUAUUCCGCAAUUUCAAUUUACAUUUUUUUUAAUUUAUUUGAUUUAAAAUAAAUUUGAUUAAUAUAUUAGCAAAUGAUAUUUAAUACUAAUAAUAUAUGUGAAAUUAAUUCGAAUUUGUAUUUUCCUAAUAUAUUAAUUUUAAAUAUUUAAAUUUCCGUAUUUUUUCCUGUACGAAUCAAAGGAUAUUAUUUUAGGAUUAAAAUAAAUUUUAAUAUUAAAUACGUCGAAUUCCAGCGGGUAUUAUUAUCCAUUGGUAUUUUAUUUAAUUUGAACCUUGGCGGUAAUUUUGCUUUAUUAAAAUAUUUAUUAAUACCUUUUGCAAAAUAUUUUUAGGUUUGCUUUUAUAUUUUGAUAUUAUAAUUAUUCGACGAAUUUUGGCUAUUAAAUUAUUUUUUGUAUAAUUAUUAUUAUUAUUUACGCAAUUUUUUAAAACAUCUUUAGCAUUUUAAUUUAAUAUAUGUCCAUUGCACCGAAUAUUGUAAGACUUUCCGAAUAUAUUGUCUUUAUAAAAAUUUAUAAAAGUAUUAUUAUUUGUAUUAUUAUCGCCGGUAAUAUUGGGUAUAUUAUUUUCAAUGUAAGGAAAUCCUUUAAUAAUAUUAUCAAAUUUACUAUAUAAAUUUUCUCCCGAGUAAAUUAUAUUAUUAAUUUUUCCAAAUCCGAUUAAUAUUACGUUCGUAUAACAAAACCUUAUAAUUAGGACCGACGAGGUAUUUGCUAAGUGCAGGUAAUGCAGGAUUUUUUAAUCCCUUUAUUGUAUUUAUUGCAUCGUCGGGCAAAUACGUGACAAUUGAUUUAUAUAUUAAAUUACAAUUAUUAUUUUUCUAAUAUAUAUUUCAAAAAGCUGGUCUCCCAUCAUUUUAAAUGUUUAAAUAUUAAAUAUUGUAUUAGAUAAACUAUUAUUUUCUAUAUUAACUCGCCAAGUAUUAUUAAACUUAAUAUAAUAUCCGUUAAAUAAAUCAUUCAAAACUAGCUUUAUUUUAUCCGAAUUUAUAAUAGGUUAAUUAUUAUUAAAAUAAAAUAAUAACUUCUUAUAUAAAUCCGAAUUUAAAAGAUUAAAAGAGAAAUUAUUAUUAAUUACAAACUAUAAUAUGUUUAUAUAAAUUUCAAUUUGUUAAAUUCGUAUAUAACAAUAUUUUUCCGCUGCCUUUUAUAUAUAUUUUGGUUAUAAUUAUAAUUAAAAAAAUGAAGAAAUAUUAUUAUUGCUAAAAUUAUUUUUUAAUAAUAUAUUAUUUUCCGUAAUUUCUCGCUUUUUUUAUUAUAAGUAUUGAGGUGUUUUAAUUUAUAAUACCUGGAAAAAUUACAAAAUUGAAAAUCUUUCAAAACGUUUAUUUUUUUAUAUUUACAAUUUGUACACUUUAUUAAACCUUUUAUAUUUUUGUUAUUUGCUAUUAAUAGUAAAACUCUUUUAAAUAAAUUAUACGUAAAUAUAUAAAGAGUGAAAUUACAAUUUAAAAGUAAAAUAAAAUUAGUUUAAUUAUAUUUAUUAAUUAUAAUAUUAUCCGAAUUAUUAUAAGAGUUAAUUU
Molecule: small RNA, 2295 nt
Filed under: Pyricularia oryzae
Lineage: Eukaryota; Fungi; Ascomycota; Sordariomycetes; Magnaporthales; Pyriculariaceae
Description: Magnaporthe oryzae sRNA M_BR32_EuGene_00147081
Source: RNAcentral